Long non-coding RNA from Alosa sapidissima (American shad), 540 nucleotides. RefSeq lists it as uncharacterized. The transcript is spliced from 4 exons. Lineage: Eukaryota; Metazoa; Chordata; Actinopteri; Clupeiformes; Clupeidae. The record is from RefSeq and is a predicted model, not a curated record.
UCUGCUGCUAAUUUGGCCACGCCUCAAGCUUGUAGAAUCUUUGCCCACGCCCCACUGACUGUUACCACUACUACUACGUUAACUUUUACAUGGACAGGGCGGCUGUAGUUCAACCAUACAUGUUUGAACCAGAAUCGGAUCCUGAAGGAGGGGAGUCUCCUGCAGAACCCGAGACUCAGAGAAUUCAGCAAGACGCUUCUGAAUGGUGCACAUGUGGAAAUUGUGCAACAAUGCCGUCAGAGUCUGAGAACUUGUGCUACCAGGAGGUACCACAGGUUACAAGAUGACUGCAGCAGCUGGAAGAAAGACCAUCCAGGUUUAGAACCCGUUUGCCGAAAUGUGUUCUCACUGCAGAAUGCAUGCAACAUUUACAGAGCUGACUACGGUCCUUUACAGCUACGGGGAAUAGAGCAUCGUUACAGGUAUUUGGCCUACAGAAGUUUUGUGAGCUGGUGCUGGGGCUUCCUUGGUCGAAAAAUACGGGUAGUGAUCCCCUCAUGUGUCGUACUUCGGAUUUCCAGACGCCCAGGGAAGAUACGU